This 505-nucleotide ribosomal RNA is filed under the name uncultured bacterium. RNAcentral's name for it is "partial 16S ribosomal RNA". It matches the Rfam family "Bacterial small subunit ribosomal RNA", at positions 28 to 507 of the family's 1533-position model. The record is from RNAcentral.
GACGAACGCUGGCGGCGUGCCUAAUACAUGCAAGUAGAACGCACAGUUUAUACCGUAGCUUGCUACACCAUAGACUGUGAGUUGCGAACGGGUGAGUAACGCGUAGGUAACCUGCCUGGUAGCGGGGGAUAACUAUUGGAAACGAUAGCUAAUACCGCAUAAUAUUAAUUAUUUCAUGAUAAUUAAUUGAAAGGUGCAAUUGCACCACUACCAGAUGGACCUGCGUUGUAUUAGCUAGUAGGUGAGGUAACGGCUCACCUAGGCGACGAUACAUAGCCGACCUGAGAGGGUGAUCGGCCACACUGGGACUGAGACACGGCCCAGACUCCUACGGGAGGCAGCAGUAGGGAAUCUUCGGCAAUAGACGAAAGUCUGACCGAGCAACGCCGCGUGAGUGAAGAAGGUUUUCGGAUCGUAAAGCUCUGUUGUAAGAGAAGAACGGGUGUGAGAGUGGAAAGUUCACACUGUGACGGUAUCUUACCAGAAAGGGACGGCUAACUACGUG